GGGGCCGUAAAGGCUUCGACGGGGAUUCUGAUGCAUGAUAAGCGGGUAGUGAGGGCGAAAUCACUUUAAUCGUCGCAUCUUUAAAUUUAAACGCAGAUUACAAUUCUGAGUUAGUAGCUGCCUAAGCGGCUUCCGUCAUACUCCGCAGUACCACGGGCGGGGAUAUGGCGUCGACUAGUGGUGAACGUCAUUGAUGAGUUGCCUUGUAAUCUCUGAUGUACUAAAGGCUGCCAAAUCUGAGAGCCUGUUUGCCGGCGCUCAGACGCGGGAGAUCUAAAAGACAUUCUGCACCCGGAGAAAGUCGUGAGGACGGGUUUUCGGACAGGGGUUCAAUUCCCCUCGGCUCCACCA
Molecule: transfer-messenger RNA, 351 nt
Filed under: Oscillospiraceae
Lineage: Bacteria; Bacillati; Bacillota; Clostridia; Eubacteriales
Also listed under: 1 other name
Description: CAG-115 sp000432175 Standard tmRNA
Rfam family: transfer-messenger RNA
About the family: Bacterial tmRNA, also known as 10Sa RNA or SsrA, is named for its dual tRNA and mRNA-like properties. Its role is to liberate the mRNA from a stalled ribosome. To accomplish this part of the tmRNA is used as a reading frame that ends in a translation stop signal.
Source: RNAcentral